Molecule: unclassified non-coding RNA, 408 nt
Filed under: Hevea brasiliensis (rubber tree)
Lineage: Eukaryota; Viridiplantae; Streptophyta; Magnoliopsida; Malpighiales; Euphorbiaceae
Source: RNAcentral
GAUACUUGAAAUGAUUUUUUCAGAUCUCACAUCGGUUAUGGAGUGUGUGUGUGAACGUAGAUUAUAUGGAACAAUGACUCUAUUGAAAUUGUAUGGUUUCGGUAGUUCAUCCUCGUGUGUGUUUUAUUUUCAGACUUAAAUUAAUUUUAAAAUUUUUUUAUUUGUCAAGCAAAUUACACUAUGUGUGUGUGUUCCAUUUUUUUAUUCAAAAUGGAACAAAAGCUACAUGUGAAACAUUAAAGAACUCAUUUGAAAAAUCCUUCGCUACCUAAAGAAAAUACAAUUAAAAAAAUAAUAAUAAUAGUACUUGAAGGAUGCUUAGCUGUUUGUGAGAGCAAUAAUAAUAUAUCUGGUGAAGAUAAUUGUGAAUUGACUGUGAUGAUGCAGGGUUAUGUAGAGCUGCAAAUG